GAUCAUGGCUCAGGAUGAACGCUGGCGGCGUGCCUAACACAUGCAAGUCGAACGAAGCAAUCAGGAGGAAGUUUUCGGAUGGAAUCCUGGUUGACUGAGUGGCGGACGGGUGAGUAACGCGUGGAUAACCUGCCUCACACUGGGGGAUAACAGUUAGAAAUGGCUGCUAAUACCGCAUAAGCGCACAGUACCGCAUGGUACGGUGUUAAAACCCAGGUGGUGUGAGAUGGAUCCGCG
RNAcentral lists this ribosomal RNA (237 nucleotides) under uncultured bacterium. RNAcentral describes it as "partial 16S ribosomal RNA". It matches the Rfam family "Bacterial small subunit ribosomal RNA", at positions 15 to 235 of the family's 1533-position model. The record is from RNAcentral.